GAAGGAGGACGUUUUACGACGGAAGGUUUGAAUUAAACUAAUACAACUGUACAGUGAAUGUAAAGUGGACAAUGGCAGAGGAAUCAGAUGGUUAUAUACGGGAUCAUGAGAAUUUGGAUGAAAAUGACGAAAUGUUCUGGGAGGAAAUUAGGAAAAAACAAAGCAAACUUCUAGGACACCAACAAGUAAUACCUACAGUUCAAACACAGUGAGACAGAAUAAUGAGAACCAUAUGAGAGAGAUAACACAACAGACAAAGUAGGUGGCGGUAUGCACCAAAGAGAUGUCACCCGCCAAUAAACCAACAAGAAGAAGAAGAAGAAGA
Trichomycterus rosablanca is the source of this 325-nucleotide long non-coding RNA. RefSeq lists it as uncharacterized. The record is from RefSeq and is a predicted model, not a curated record. The transcript is spliced from 3 exons. Lineage: Eukaryota; Metazoa; Chordata; Actinopteri; Siluriformes; Trichomycteridae.